This 509-nucleotide ribosomal RNA is filed under the name uncultured Cephalotheca. RNAcentral describes it as "eukaryotic LSU rRNA". It matches the Rfam family "Eukaryotic large subunit ribosomal RNA", at positions 86 to 606 of the family's 3401-position model. Lineage: Eukaryota; Fungi; Ascomycota; Sordariomycetes; Cephalothecales; Cephalothecaceae. The record is from RNAcentral.
ACGGCGAGUGAAGCGGCAACAGCUCGAAUUUGAAAUCUGGCCUCGGCCCGAGUUGUAAUCUGUAGAGGAUGCUUUUGGCGCGGUGCCUUCCGAGUGCCCUGGAACGGGACGCCACAGAGGGUGAGAGCCCCGUAUGGUCGGACACCAAGCCUGUGUAAAGCUCCUUCGACGAGUCGGGUAGCUUGGGAAUGCUGCUCUAAGUGGGAGGUAAACUUCUUCUAAAGCUAAAUACUGGCCAGAGACCGAUAGCGCACAAGUAGAGUGAUCGAAAGAUGAAAAGCACUUUGAUAAGAGGGUCAAAUAGUACGUGAAAUUGUUGAAAGGGAAGCGCUCAUGACCAGACUUGCGCCGGGCUGAUCAUCCAGUGGUCUCCACUGGUGCACUCUGCCCGGCUCAGGCCAGCGUCGGCUGUCACGGGGGGACAAAAGCACUGGGAAAGUAGCUCUCUCCGGGGAGUGUUAUAGCCCUAUGCAGAAUACCCCCGCGGCGGCCGAGGUCCGCGCUCUGCA